UUAAUAAACAAUUAAUAAUCCACAGUAGGAAUGUUCCUUUACAGCUUAUAAAGCAGAGUUGUCAGAGUAGCUUACCAUGGAGUUGGGAGGCAUGUACAUGCAGAUCCCAGUGGUGGUGAAGAGGUGACUUUCGUUGUGGUGGAUGUCAUGUGUUUCAGUAUUGUAAGCCUGUCUUGCUGAAGGGGUUUGACUGUGCUUUCAAUGUUGAGUUGUUCAUUUAUGACCACCGAGAGCACUGUAUCUUGAUAAAGUACAGUGCAUGCUUGUCAAAGUUACUUCGUGGCAUUGGUUGAGAGAGUAGGACGUUUUCCUGGAGUGAAGACCCUGGGUUCGUUUCCUUGCUACUCCCAUUGUAGUGUAUCUUUGGACAAUGCACUUUAUAUGAGAGACAAACUAGCUAGGUACCAGCAGAUUGCUGGGUGUAAAGUAAAGGUUUAAUCUUACUUAUACUGGAAUGAAUGAUGAUGCUACAAAGUCAACUAUGUUUUUUAAGCUGUAAUGUACAUAUUCUACUGUAGGAACAAAAUUCUAUUAAUGUCAGAUAAACAAUUUGCAAAAUCAUCAAAGGGUAGUUAGUGUCAACAGACAAGACAGAAGUGACAGGAACAUUAGUCUAGACAUCUAGGAUGGCACCUACAAAUAAUUGUCAUACUAUUGAAGGUUUGGGGUUAGGUGGAGACAUAAAAUAUAAUUUGUUACAAUAGCUCGCUAGGUAGACAGACAGACAGAUAGAGAGACAGACAGGCAUCUUGGAAUAUGUGAUUGUUAACUGGUAAUUACAAGGUUGGGGGUUAAUGCGUUAGGGUGGGGGCAAGUUUUUGGCAUGGGGGUUGGGAAAAGUGGAUUUUCAGGGAUAUUUAUCAGAACACUAUUUAUUGUCACAUGAUGGAGUAGGGGAUGCAUUGUUAAUAUAUUUUGGGAAAAAAAGGAUCUAAAAUGCAUUGGCUGUGAAACAUGAUGGUGAUAGAGUCAUCAUAUCGUGAUACUUAAUUUUGUUGCUCAAUCAAAUGUUCACUUUUUUUAAACUGGUAUGCAUUUUUGUGUUUCUGCCAGUUGUGAGAUAUAUCUGUUUUUUUGUUCGUUUUUUUUUUACAACUGUUUUUUGUACAUAGUUUAAAAAUCAAAAAUGUGUACAAAAGCUUAUCAACAACAAAGCAAAACAGGACCACCUUUCCACUAUUGGGGAAUUGGGAUCAGAGGCAUUUGGUAGUAAAAUUUCUUGUCAUUUUAAAGAAAAAGGGAAUAAAGGGAAGUUAUGAAAAGUGGUGUUUUUGAUAAAUUUUACAUAAAACAUUGAAUUGAGGUUUAAAUAAGGAAGUGUACACAUCUAAAUUUUUUAGCUGGAAUCUGAUAAUUUUUUUUUCAUUAUAUUUUUUACAGGAUUUUUUUCCAAACUAAGGAGUGGUAGAUAAGUCUAGAAAUGUUUAAAAUGAGGGCUCUGCUUAAAUCUAUUUUCACUUUCUGAAACAUUAUCAACAAUGAUUUCUGAACAUUUCUGCUUUUCCAUAGAGUACAGGCAUAGUGCACAGGUGCUCGUCUGAAACUAUAUAGGGAAUUUUUUUUUUUUCAUUAUAGCAUUAAAAAUAAUGGAGUGAAAUACUAUAAGACAGAUUACAGUGCAGCUGGUAAAGUUUUCAUGUGUCUUUCAACACUAGAGCAUCCUUUGCUUCAUUUACAUAAUAACUUGUUUUAUCUUAAGGUAUACUCCACUCCCUUUCAUAUACAUGAAUUACACAAUGUAUAUUUCUAUAUAUACCUCAUAUACCUCACUCAAUUGUAUACCCCUGUAGUACUCCACCCAGAUUUUUCAUUAUAUCUCCCAUUCUUGUAUACCCAUUUUACUCCACACCCCUUUGUACCAAAACAUGCAUCACCUAGAGCAUAUUUAGAUAUAAUCUCAGACCUUGGUGUUAAAUAGUGCAUAUUUCUUAAUAUACUUCACUCCCUUGUAUACCCACACAUUACACAAAACAUAUUUCUACAUAAAGUAAAACCUGCUUUAGUGGUCACCUCUGUUCAUCAGCCAGUCUGUCUUAAGCAGCAUUCUAUAAAUUACUUGCAUUAAGCAGCCACCUGCUGUAAGCAGCCACUUUUUCCCACUCCCUUGGCUGGCUACUUAAGACAGAUUUUACUGUACUUCCAACCAAGACUUACCCCAGCAUUGCCUAUAACUGGCGACUGAUAUGCCUGUAUCACUUUGCGUUCUUCCUGCAUUAAAAAUUAAAGUUUGAAUAAUAAUAAUAGGUCAAUAUUUAUGAAAAAGGUACAUUUGUAAAUUUAUUUUCUCUUCCUUUGUCAAGCCUGGCUGCAGCUGACGUGUCAUAAAGAGGAUAGCAAAUACAUGUGUAGUUCUGGUAUGGAAUUUUUUGAAUGAGUUUAGUAAAGUUAUAUUAUUCCAGCCUCUGGCAAACAUGAUAUUUUUUAUUCAGCAGAUUCAGUAAAUUCAGUACUGAAAACUACACAUAUUUCAUAUUUAUCACAUGCAGACACCAAACAUCCUUUUCAGACUCUAAUACUAUAAAAAUGGAAGACAUUAUAUAUAAUAAGGUUACUCAGUCUUGAGCUGAAAACAGAGUUCUCAAUGUGAUGAAUAAUCAGAGCUCCAGAUAAGCUUUUGGUGCAAUUGGGUAUUUACCCAUCACUUUUUGUCUGAAUUGGGUAUUGGAAAUUUGAAUUGGGUAAAAAUAAUAUCAUUACCCAGCCUUUUCAGAAGUAAUUGGGUAUUUGCUAAAACCAAUUGGGUAUUUUACCAAUCUCGCACUAACAAUUGAGUAUUUUUUUGCUUACAGUAUACAUGGUAUAUAUCAUUAAACAGGACUGACUGCGCCCUUCAAUGUUUAAUACAAAAAUGUAUUUAAAAUUGUAAUGAAUGUUUCAUACUGUUGUUUUUCUUUUUCACUUUUAAUGCAGUCUGUGAUCAGUUCAUCCACAAUAUCCCGAACGAUGUGGUCACCGCAAUAUGCAUUGUCCCAAAAGAUGUCAUCCAGUAUUGGUGACACUAUAUCGUCACAAACAGAUAACUGUCAUUGUUGAACAGCAAAAUAUCCCACUAAUUUGUUUGUUUGUGCUGCAACAAUGUUUUUUCCUGCAACCUCUUUUCAUUUAUCGGCGUAAAAUUGUUUACAAAGCGUCCAAAUAACACCGAUCAGCCGACUGAAUGGUCCUGUUAUUUUUCUGAUAAAUUGCAACCUGUUCUGCAAUAACGUAUAACCAGUCAGUCAAAUCUAGCGUUAAAGUCUCGUACCCGUUCUAGUUAAAUAUGGAAAAUGCGAUACGCAAGCUAUUUUUUACGAAUUGGGUAUUAGGAAUUUUAAUUGCGUUUCAGUACGCACACUGUAUGAAUUCAAUUGGGUUUUCUGCAAUUUUAAUUGCGUAAAUACGCAAAUACGCAGCUUAUCUGGAGCUCUGAAUAAUACAUACAUAUAUUAUAAGAAUCUGUUCGUCCAUCCACAAUUUCGAGUCUGGUCCAUAAUUCUGUCAUUCAUUGAAGGAUUUUGAUAUUACUUGGCACAAAUGUGCCCCAUGAUGAGACGACGUACCAUGCACAAAGCCCGGACCACUAGCUCAAAUGUCAAGGUCACACUUGGAGGUCCAAGGUCAGCAGGGCUUUUUUCCUGUCCUGACCAUAACUCUGCCAUCCAUGAAGGGAUUUUAAUAUUACUUGGCGCAAAUGUACCUCGUAAUAAGACGAUGUGUACAAAUUUCAGACCCCAAGGUCAAGGUCACACUUGGCAGUCAAAUGUUAGCAUGGCAUGAACGGGGGGUGUGUUUUGUUUUUUAAUAUUACUUGACACAAAUGUUCCCCAUAAUGAGACAAUGUGUCAUGUACAAUACCCAGACCCCUAGUGCAAAGGUCAAGGUCACACCUAAAGGUCAAAAGUUAACAUUCAUCUUUUCCUAUCCAGCCUGUAAAAUAUUUUAAUAAAAGCUCAUGUGCCAUAUGGACCCAUUUUGAGCUCGACUUUUCGAAGAAAAAGUAAAGCUAUUGCACUCGCCCGGGGCGUCGGCAUCGCCGUUGGUUAAAGUUUUUGAUGAAGUCAGAUAUCUCUGUUACUAUAAAAGCUAUUGACUAGAAACACCAAGAGAAACAAUCCACAUAACUCUGAUUUGAAUUUUCAUGGAGUUAUGCCCCAUUUUGACUUAGAAUUUUUUGUUAAAGUUUUUUAUAAAGUCAAUAUCUCUGUCACUGUCAAAGCUAUUGGCUUGAAACUUAAAAUAGUUAACUAUCAAAGUCUACACCAGGAGAAACGAUCCCCAUAACUCUGAUUUGAAUUUUGACAGAGUUAUGCCCUUUUUAACUUAGAAUUUUUGGUUAAUUGUUUUGAUAACAUCAAAUAUCUUUAGUACUAUUAAAUCUAUUGACUUGAAACUUGAAAUAGUUAUUUACUGGCAAAGUCUACACCAGGAGAAACAAUCCCCAUAACUCUGAUUUGAAUUUUGACAAAGUUAUGCCCCUUUUUAACUUAGAAUUUUUGGUAAAAGAUUUUGAUUAAGUCAGAUAUCUCUGUUUGUAUCAAAGCUAUUGACUUGAAACUUAAAAUGGUUAUUUACUAUCAUAGUCUACACCAGGAGAAACAAACCCCAUAACUCUGAUUGAAUUUUGACAGAGUUAUGCCCUUUUUUAACUUAGAUUUUUCGGUGAAAGUUUUAUAAAGUUUUUACUGGCAAAGCUCUAAUUCAGUCAAGCACUGAGAAAAGUCGAGCGCACUGUCAUUUGGACAGCUCUUGUAAAAAAUAUACUAUAUGUACAGGUAUUUCAUAUCAAUGUUAUGGAGUUGGAUUAAAGGCACGUGCAUGUGAUAAAUUAUUAAAGUUUUCUCUCCCCUGGAUUUAACUGCACCUUUUCUUGCCUAGUUAGCCGGAAAGUAUAUAAUUAUCUAGCGGAUAUUACUGUCUACCUUGUCAAUGAUAGUUCGAUCCUCGGGCGGGGCGUAUGUUCUCCGUGACUAUUUGAUAAACGACAUUGUGUCUAAAAUCAUUAGUCCUCCACCUCUGGUUCAUGUGGGGAAGUUGGCAGUUAAUUGCGGAGAACAGGUUUGUACUGGUACAGAAUCCAGGAACACUGGUUAGGUUAACUGCCCGCCGUUACAUGACUGAAAUACUGUUGAAAAACGGCGUUAAACCCAAAACAAACAAACAAAUUGUCAAUGAUAGUGUGCGCUUAGAGUGAUGUCAUAAUAGUAAGAUCCUCAUAAUAAAUACUAUUACCAGAGGUCCAAAGAUCAAGUCAAUAGAUUUGACCUUUGACAAGCCCUUAAAUAAGAGUUUUUAUGCCCCCGAAGGGAGGCAUAUAGUUUUUGAACCGUCUGUCUGUCGGUCUGUCAGUCUGUCGGUCUGUCGGUCUGUCCGCAUUUUUCGUGUCCGGUCCAUAUCUUUGUCAUCGAUGGAUGGAUUUUCAAAUAACUUGGCAUGAAUGUGUACCACAGUAAGACGACGUGUCGCGCGCAAGACCCAGGUCCGUAGCUCAAAGGUCAAGGUCACACUUAGACAUUAAAGGUUAUUGCAUUGAUGGGCGUGUCCGGUCCAUAUCUUUGUCAUCGAUGGAUGGAUUUUCAAAUAACUUGGCAUGAAUGUGUACCACAGUAAGACGACGUGUCGCGCGCAAGACCCAGGUCCGUACCUCAAAGGUCAAGGUUACACUUAGACAUUAAGGGAUAGUGCAUUGAUGGGCGUGUCCGGUCCAUAUCUUUGUCAUCAAUGGAUGGAUUUUCAAAUAACUUGGCAUGAAUGUGUACCACAGUAAGACGACAUGUAGCGCGCAAGACCCAGGUCCGUAUCUCAAAGGUCAAGGUCACACUUAGACAUUAAGGGAUAGUGCAUUGAUGGGCGUGUCCGGUCCAUAUCUUUGUCAUCGAUGGAUGGAUUUUCAAAUAACUUGGCAUGAAUGUGUACCACAGUAAGACGACGUGUCAUGCGCAAGACCCAGGUCCGUAGCUCAAAGGUCAAGGUCACACUUAGAUGUUAAAGGUCUUUUUUCAUGAUAGUGCAUUGAUGGGCGUGUCUGGUCCAUAUCUUUGUCAUUCAUGCAUGCAUUUUAAAAUAACUACGCAUAAAUGUGUGACACAGUAAGACGACGUGUCGCGCGCAAGACCCAGCUCCGUAGGUCAAAGGUCCUAAACUCGAACAUCGGCCAUAACUAUUCAUUUAAAGUGCCAUCGGGGGCAUGUGUCAUCCUAUGGAGACAGCUCUUGUUUUAUGUGACAUAGGAUAUAUCAUUCAUACAGGAACUGAUUAUUAAGGAACAAUAAAUAAAGAACACAAUUUGGACACAGUUUAAAUAUGAAUACUCUCUCAGACUUAAACCCUGAAGUGACAUAUAUCCAGAGAAUAAAUGGAAAAAGGUGAAAAGCAAGAAUUGGGCAAAGUUUUAUUCCCAGGUUGAACUGAUUGAGUAGUUCAGCUGAUGUAUUGAAAAUAAAUAAAGAAGCAUCAGAACAUGUUGUAAAUUAUACACUUUCUUUCAUCUAUAAAAUUAUACUUAAAAAAAGAUAUUAUUGUUUUCACAGAUACCCCUUACCUAAAAAAUGUUUCCACAGACUACUUGACCGGUUUGUGACACUAAGUAAGCUAUACAUACUUACUUAGAUGCAGUUGAGAUAUUGUUGAUCUGCACUGGUGUGUAGUUUUCAUCAUGGGUUUAAUCUUUUUCACCGCCUCGGUAGCCUAGUGGUAGAGCGUCCGCUUCGAGUGCGGGAGGUCGUGGGUUCGAUCCCCAACCGCGUCAUAUCAAAGACGUAAAAAAUGGUACUAGUAGCUUCCUCGCUUGGCGCUCAGCAUUAAGAGGAUAGUGCUAGGACUGGUCAGCCCGGUGUCAGUAUAAUGUGACUGGGUGGGAUAUCAUGCCACGUGUCUACGGCGUGAUAUUCAAGUGAGGCAGCACUAUAAAGUUGGGCAUUGUGCUCACUGCUACAAGUAGACACCGUCGUUUAUAUGACUGAAAAAUUGUUGAAAAAGACGUUAAACCCGAACACACACACACACACACACACACACACACCUUUUUCACAAGCAUUAUAGAUAAUAAAAAUAACCCCAGUUUUACAGAUAUUCAAUGUUAUAGGUUGAAAAAGACUUGAGCAAACAUUUACUAAGAUAUAACAUGCAGAUUAUCACUUCCAGUGGCAUGAAGCUAUAUGAGGGACAGUCAUGCACUUUUCAAUAAUAGUCUCUUGUUUACUUAUUAGCCCAGUAAACAUGGGUAGAAUAUAGCACAAACUAUGGACUACUAGGGAUAUAGGGGUUGGGUAACAAGUUCAUUUAAUAACAUAAAGCUGGUAUAACAUAAUAUACGCCACAGUGUGCAGCCCCAUUUACACAAGUCAGUACAAAAUUGAUCCUUUUCAGUAUUUAAUAAUGACAUCAUGUGCAACUAUGGCUACAGUAAAAAACACUAUAAAACAUGUGUACAGCUUACAGCACAGCCCUGCUUCCCAGAUUUCUUAACUCUGCUAAAAGUUUGCUGCUAGAUAAGGAGGGGACACUCCUUGUUCAAGGUAUUCAACAUUUUUGGACCACCAUCCCAGUAUGAUUACAUGACCUGAUUGUAUGAAUGUGUGACCACCACAACCACUAUUUUUGCAUGUAAAGGAAACUUGGGAUAAGUCUACACUAAUAAAAUGUUAAGGACUGUAUCAUGUAUACUUCAUUAAAGUCAUGUUCAGUAGGUGAAAACUGAAGAAAAAAAUCUUUCUGACCUACAUACCUACAUGUAACUAUUGCUUGUGGUGAGUAAAUGACCCCAGUUGAUUUAAGGUCAAUAGGACCCGGAGAUUUAGAUUUGGUUUCUGGUUAUUAAAUGAGUAAUACUUAAAGAUUUUGGAUACUUUUUAGUCCAAGACUGUACCUAUGAAACCGAGUGAUAUGAGUUAACACUUUCCUAGUAGCCAAUUUUAGCUUGUUGACUCGGUGUCAAUAUAUUUGUAUUGUUUUUUUCAUCUGUCUAAGUAAUCACUAGUUCAUUGCAGAGAUAUACUACAGCCAACAAGCAAACAUGGUUUAUUUUCUGCAAAAGCAGUAAUGGCAGCGUUUGUGGAAAUACAUCAAUAGAAGGUGGAUGUUUAUCAAACCUAAAAUGGCCAAUCGCAGCAAAAUAGAAAGUAUGGAAAGUUGAAGAUGAAAAAUGGACUAUUAAUAGACCGUAAUUGAAGAACAUAACAGCGGAUGGCGGAGACUAUCCCUCAUAAUGACUGGGCCUACUUGGAAGAAGUUCACACCAAAUUACUGCAAGUCCUUGUCCGACAGUGCCAGUAGAGUAUCAUCUAUGAUCAGUAUAAUUAUGAUGGACCACGUCUCACCGACUCGCAGGUCAAAGCCUUCAGUCACACAAGUACACUAGCAGCCUGGACACUCAAGCAGAAAUAAGGUCUAUCUGUAUGAAGGAGAUUGGUGUAUGGAUGAAAAAAUAUCCCAACAUGUUUCUCCAUGAUGGACACUUGAAAUAUGUUGGCUUGACUUUGUAUGACAAGGUUGGUGAUGUAAGACUUGGUUUUCUGAAAGCACUAUAUCCUGUGAUACAUCCGAUCUCUGUCACAAACUGGAGUACUUCACCAACAGAGUCAAGUUUAAUUAUUUCUUGAAAGCUUCCUGAAAUUGUCCGUAUAGUUGAGAUGACACUAGACAAGGAGACAGAAGUGGCAGUACAAGGAGUGAAGCUCAGUCCAUCAGUAUUCUCAGGUUGCCCAGACAGCUGCUGGUGAGUUUCUGAACGCCAAGUUGUUCCGACAUGAAGAGGAUGAUGCUUCUACAGCCAAAGAUGCCUGUCCUGGUGAAAUGAUCAAGUUCAGCAGGCAGCGAGGCUUGUUUAUCAUUGGUCAUGUGUAUCCACCACUGACUGAUGUCACAAUUACUGUGUACGAUAGCGCAGACAAAGUGGAUGCUGUCACAGCACUGACCAGUGAAAAGGGAGAUUUCAAGAUUGGUCCACUUCACAAGGGUUAUGAUUAUAUGGUGAAGGCAGAGAAGGAUGGUUAUGUGCUGGAGAAAGAUGAGAAAGAAAUGGCUGUAUUCCGUGCCAGAAAACUCAGCAGAAUUGAUGUUAAG
Long non-coding RNA from Mercenaria mercenaria, 9039 nucleotides. RefSeq lists it as uncharacterized. The transcript has 8 exons. The record is from RefSeq and is a predicted model, not a curated record. Lineage: Eukaryota; Metazoa; Mollusca; Bivalvia; Venerida; Veneridae.